UACGUAGGAGACGAGCGUUAUCCGGAUUUAUUGGGCGUAAAGCGGACGCAGGCGGCUUUCCAAGUCGGAUGUAAAAUCUCCCGGCUUAACUGGGAGGGAUCGUCCGAUACUGUUGGGCUAGAGUGCAGCAAAGGAAAGCGGAAUUCCCGGUGUAGUGGUGAAAUACGUAGAUAUCGGGAGGAACACCAGUGGCGAAAGCGGCUUUCUGGGCUGUUACUGACGCUGAGGUCCGAAAGCGUGGGGAG
Molecule: ribosomal RNA, 245 nt
Filed under: uncultured bacterium
Lineage: Bacteria
Description: partial 16S ribosomal RNA
Rfam family: Bacterial small subunit ribosomal RNA
Source: RNAcentral